GACGAACGCUGGCGGCGUGCUUAACACAUGCAAGUCGAACGGAAAGGCCCUGCUUUUGUGGGGUGCUCGAGUGGCGAACGGGUGAGUAACACGUGAGUAACCUGCCCUUGACUUUGGGAUAACUUCAGGAAACUGGGGCUAAUACCGGAUAGGAGCUCCUGCUGCAUGGUGGGGGUUGGAAAGUUUCGGCGGUUGGGGAUGGACUCGCGGCUUAUCAGCUUGUUGGUGGGGUAGUGGCUUACCAAGGCUUUGACGGGUAGCCCGCCUGAGAGGGUGACCGGCAACAUUGGGACUGAGAUACGGCCCAGACUCCUACGGGAGGCAGCAGUGGGGAAUAGUGCACAAUGGGCGGAAGCCUGAUGCAGCAACGCCGCGUGCGGGAUGACGGCCUUCGGGUUGUAAACCGCUUUCGCCUGUGACGAAGCGUGAGUGAAGGUAAUGGGUAAAGAAGCACCGGCUAACUACGUG
RNAcentral lists this ribosomal RNA (468 nucleotides) under uncultured bacterium. Its description in RNAcentral is "partial 16S ribosomal RNA". It matches the Rfam family "Bacterial small subunit ribosomal RNA", at positions 28 to 507 of the family's 1533-position model. The record is from RNAcentral.